GUAGGGUCCGAGCGUUGUCCGGAAUUAUUGGGCGUAAAGGGCUCGUAGGCGGUUAGUCACGUCGGGAGUGAAAACUCAGGGCUCAACCCUGAGCGUGCUUCCGAUACGGGCUGACUAGAGGUAUGCAGGGGAGAACGGAAUUCCUGGUGUAGCGGUGGAAUGCGCAGAUAUCAGGAGGAACACCGGUGGCGAAGGCGGUUCUCUGGGCAUUACCUGACGCUGAGGAGCGAAAGCAUGGGGAGCGAACAGGAUUAGAUACCCUGGUAGUCCAUGCCGUAAACGUUGGGCGCUAGGUGUGGGGUCCUUCCACGGAUUCCGUGCCGCAGCUAACGCAUUAAGCGCCCCGCCUGGGGAGUACGGCCGCAAGGCUAAA
This 373-nucleotide ribosomal RNA is filed under the name uncultured bacterium. RNAcentral's name for it is "bacterial SSU rRNA". It matches the Rfam family "Bacterial small subunit ribosomal RNA", at positions 527 to 898 of the family's 1533-position model. The record is from RNAcentral.